CGCGGCCUAUCAGCUUGUUGGUGAGGUAACGGCUCACCAAGGCCACGACGGGUAGCUGGUCUGAGAGGACGAUCAGCCACACUGGGACUGAGACACGGCCCAGACUUCUACGGGAGGCAGCAGUAGGGAAUCUUGCGCAAUGGGCGAAAGCCUGACGCAGCAACGCCGCGUGGGGAUGACGGCUUUCGGGCUGUAAACCCCUUUCAGCAGGGACGAAACUGACGGUACCUGCAGAAGAAGCCCCGGCCAACUACGUGCCAGCAGCCGCGGUAACACGUAGGGGGCAAGCGUUGUCCGGAAUUAUUGGGCGUAAAGAGCUCGUAGGUGGUUCGGUAAGUCAGGUGUGAAAGGCUGGGGCUCAACCCUAGGACCGCACCUGAUACUGCUGUGACUCGAGUCCGGUAGAGGAGUGUGGAAUUCCUGGUGUAGCGGUGAAAUGCGCAGAUAUCAGGAGGAACACCAGCGGCGAAGGCGGCACUCUGGGCCGGUACUGACACUGAGGAGCGAAAGCGUGGGGAGCAAACAGGAUUAGAUACCCUGGUAGUCCACGCCGUAAACGUUGGGCACUAGGUGUGGGGUCUUAUCAACGGAUUCCGCGCCGUAGCUAACGCAUUAAGUGCCCCGCCUGGGGAGUACGG
This 638-nucleotide ribosomal RNA is filed under the name uncultured bacterium. Its description in RNAcentral is "bacterial SSU rRNA". It matches the Rfam family "Bacterial small subunit ribosomal RNA", at positions 232 to 885 of the family's 1533-position model. The record is from RNAcentral.